RNAcentral lists this ribosomal RNA (450 nucleotides) under uncultured bacterium. RNAcentral's name for it is "bacterial SSU rRNA". It matches the Rfam family "Bacterial small subunit ribosomal RNA", at positions 329 to 793 of the family's 1533-position model. The record is from RNAcentral.
GUCCAGACUCCUACGGGAGGCAGCAGUGGGGAAUAUUGCACAAUGGGGGAAACCCUGAUGCAGCAACGCCGCGUGAGUGAGGAAGUAUUUCGGUAUGUAAAGCUCUAUCAGCAGGGAAUAGAAAAGAAGGUACCUGAAAAAGAAGCCCCGGCUAACUACGUGCCAGCAGCCGUGGUAAUACGUAGGGGGCAAGCGUUAUCCGGAUUUACUGGGUGUAAGGGGAGCGUAGACGGCGAUGCAAGUCUGAAGUGAAAGGCGGGGGCCCAACCCCCGGACUGCUUUGGAAACUGUAUGGCUGGAGUGCAGGAGAGGUAAGUGGGAUUCCUAGUGUAGCGGUGAAAUGCGUAGAUAUUAGGAGGAACACCAGUGGCGAAGGCGGCCUGCUGGACGAUGACUGACGUUGAGGCUCGAAAGCGUGGGGAGCAAACAGGAUUAGAUACCCCUGUACUG